CCCUAGCCCUGAUUGAAGCGGCAUCCUUUCUCUUUGCUAAAAGAGAAAGAUACAGCGUAAAACAGGACACGAG
Molecule: small RNA, 73 nt
Filed under: Flavobacterium micromati
Lineage: Bacteria; Pseudomonadati; Bacteroidota; Flavobacteriia; Flavobacteriales; Flavobacteriaceae
Description: Flavo-1 RNA
Rfam family: Flavo-1 RNA
Source: Rfam by way of RNAcentral